AUUGAACGCUGGCGGCAGGCCUAACACAUGCAAGUCGAACGAGUGGCGGACGGGUGAGUAAUGAUUGGGAAUCUGGCUUAGGGAGGGGGAUAACUACGGGAAACUGUAUCUAAUACCGCAUACCAGAGGAUGAGCACAAAGGGGAUUAGGUAGUUGGUGAGGUAAAGGCUCACCAAUCCGACGAUCUCUAGCUGGUCUGAGAGUAUGACCAGCAACACUGGGACUGAGACACGGCCCAUACUCCUACGUGAGGCAGCAGUGGGGAAUAUUGCACAAUGGGCGCAACCCUGACGCAGCCAUGCCGCGUGUCUGAAGAAGGCCGUCGGGUUGUAAAGUACUUUCGGUAGCGAGGCGUUAACUACAGAAGAAGCACAGGCUAACUCCGUGCCAGCAGCCGCGGUAAUUC
RNAcentral lists this ribosomal RNA (406 nucleotides) under uncultured bacterium. Its description in RNAcentral is "partial 16S ribosomal RNA". It matches the Rfam family "Bacterial small subunit ribosomal RNA", at positions 30 to 526 of the family's 1533-position model. The record is from RNAcentral.